AUGAACGCCAUCUAUCUUGGGAGGAUAUUCGCAAUCUCCAUAGUAAAGGUAACCAUCCGUGGGUUUAAUGAAAUUCUUUACCGUUCGGAGAAGGAGGGUGGCAUGGCAAGACCUAUUGGUAUGAUGAGAGAGUUCCGUGAAUGCCUAAUGGACUGCGGGCUCGAUGACAUGGGCUAUACCGAUGACAUAUUCACUUGGAGGAGAGGAGACUUACGUGAACGUCUUGACCGGGCA
RNAcentral lists this ribosomal RNA (234 nucleotides) under Triticum aestivum (bread wheat). RNAcentral's name for it is "partial small subunit ribosomal RNA". The record is from RNAcentral. Lineage: Eukaryota; Viridiplantae; Streptophyta; Magnoliopsida; Poales; Poaceae.